AGCGAACGCUGGCGGCAGGCCUAACACAUGCAAGUCGAACGGAUCCUUCGGGAUUAGUGGCGGACGGGUGAGUAACACGUGGGAACGUGCCCUUUGGUUCGGAACAACUCAGGGAAACUUGAGCUAAUACCGGAUGUGCCCUUCGGGGGAAAGAUUUAUCGCCAUUGGAGCGGCCCGCGUCUGAUUAGCUAGUUGGUGAGGUAACGGCCCACCAAGGCGACGAUCAGUAGCUGGUCUGAGAGGAUGAUCAGCCACACUGGGACUGAGACACGGCCCAGACUCCUACGGGAGGCAGCAGUGGGGAAUCUUGCGCAAUGGGCGAAAGCCUGACGCAGCCAGGCCGCGUGAAUGAUGAAGGUCUUAGGAUUGUAAAAUUCUUUCAGCGGGGACGAUAAUGACGGUACCCGCAGAAGAAGCUCCGGCUAACUUCGU
RNAcentral lists this ribosomal RNA (432 nucleotides) under uncultured bacterium. Its description in RNAcentral is "partial 16S ribosomal RNA". It matches the Rfam family "Bacterial small subunit ribosomal RNA", at positions 29 to 506 of the family's 1533-position model. The record is from RNAcentral.